This 252-nucleotide ribosomal RNA is filed under the name uncultured bacterium. RNAcentral's name for it is "partial 16S ribosomal RNA". It matches the Rfam family "Bacterial small subunit ribosomal RNA", at positions 524 to 776 of the family's 1533-position model. The record is from RNAcentral.
UACGUAGGGGGCGAGCGUUGUCCGGAAUCAUUGGGCGUAAAGCGCGUGUAGGCGGCUCGGUAAGUCUGCUGUGAAAGUCCAGGGCUCAACCCUGGAAUGCCGGUGGAAACUGUCGAGCUUGAGUCCGGAAGAGGCGAGUGGAAUCCUGGUGUAGCGGUGAAAUGCGCAGAUAUCAGGAGGAACACCAAUGGCGAAGGCAGCUCGCUGGGACGGUACUGACGCUGAGACGCGAAAGCGUGGGGAGCAAACAGG